GACGAACGCUGGCGGCGUGCUUAACACAUGCAAGUCGAACGGAAAGGCCCUGCUUUUGUGGGGUGCUUGAGUGGCGAACGGGUGAGUAACACGUGAGUAACCUGCCCUUGGCUUUGGGAUAACUUCAGGAAACUGGGGCUAAUACCGGAUAGGAGCUCCUGCUGCAUGGUGGGGGUUGGAAAGUUUCGGCGGUUGGGGAUGGACUCGCGGCUUAUCAGCUUGUUGGUGGGGUAGUGGCUUACCAAGGCUUUGACGGGUAGCCGGCCUGAGAGGGUGACCGGCCACAUUGGGACUGAGAUACGGCCCAGACUCCUACGGGAGGCAGCAGUGGGGAAUAUUGCACAAUGGGCGGAAGCCUGAUGCAGCAACGCCGCGUGCGGGAUGACGGCCUUCGGGUUGUAAACCGCUUUCGCCUGUGACGAAGCGUGAGUGACGGUAAUGGGUAAAGAAGCACCGGCUAACUACGUG
RNAcentral lists this ribosomal RNA (468 nucleotides) under uncultured bacterium. RNAcentral's name for it is "partial 16S ribosomal RNA". It matches the Rfam family "Bacterial small subunit ribosomal RNA", at positions 28 to 507 of the family's 1533-position model. The record is from RNAcentral.